AGCCCAAGGGUAGCCUGAGGGCUCCCUGCUCGAGGGUCGUCAUUACAGUAGCUUCAAUAGAGAUGCUUCCUUGUCUCCACUGGGUUUAUGGGUUAUUUUUAAAAAGCUGAUGUGACAGGUCCAUUGGCUAACAGGGAAAGGCAUUUCUGUGGAGAGACAGAAAAAAAAUACGAGUAAUUUUUUUUUUCAAGUUUAGAGUUGAAAUAAGUAAGUUAUGAUUGUUUCUUAGGCUUUGGUGGCUUGUCUCAUGUUUUUCCUUCCUAGUUCAUGAUGACAUCAUCAAUUAUAUAUGGAGAUCAGAUUCUGAAUUUUGGGAUGAGGGGGGUCAUGUUUGUACUGCCACACAGAAGCUGUCAAGUCACAGGGUUUUGAUUGUCAUGCAUUGUCAUUUUGAGCUGUCCUACAGGAUGCUGGCCUAUCUCUUGUACCCAUGAGCUCUGGGGCUUUUGUGCAUCAUCUUGCUGGGAUGCCCUCCGUCACAGGGUGAUCUGAGCAAUGGCUUUUGUCACUUCCUUAGUGGAUGAGUUACUCUGUGGCCUUCUACAAUUGCAGAGACUGCAAUUGUAGAAGUUAUUGUAGGGACUUGGGUUCACCUAUGGAGGGGAAAAGAGGUUUGGAAAAUUGUCACUGUGGAAUAAACCAUUGUUGAUUAUUAGAUACUUUUCCUUAUGUUACUUGGUGGGCAUUUUUCCUUCCUGAAUUACCCAGAAAUUAUUUUAAUUCUCAGUGACUCCCUGCCCCUGGGAACAUGUCCACAGUGGAGAAGGAGGAAGUAAAAACCCCACCUUAUAGGCCUGAAUCAUGAUUACACUUACCUCUCUGGGCCUGCACUGAACUCUUAAAUGUUCUGGUGACAAUUCUGAGUCGGUUAAUUCUAGGGCUGCCCUGACUUCUGUCAUCAGCUCUGGCAGGACAAGUCUUUGUGGAGGCAAGCAGGUUCCAGCAGUAAGACUUGGAAGUUGUCGAUAAGGCUGGCUGCCGCUUAGGAUUCAUAAGGUUUGAUGCCGAUGGCAAAGCCAGACAGAAACUGUGCUCUACGGCCACGUAUGGUGAGGACUAGUUGCUGCCCAGAUAUGUAACUCUCUGGGCUCAAAUCUUCCUUAGGUUAAAAAAAGAAAAGAAAAAAAUCUUCAUGUAUUCAAAUGUACAUUUUAGUCCUUUUUGAGGACUGACUCAUUCCCCAGCCAGCCAUACUGUGUAUUCAUUGUGUGUGUUCACUGCCUUUCAACCCUUCCAUUUGGGGACUACCCUAAACAGAUUGCUCAUGAAUAGAGCUAAGUAUGGAUUUUGCAUUUGUGGAGAUUAACUGGUCACUGCGUUUGCACUGAUUGAAGCUGCAGAGGCGCAGAGCAAUCUGAGGAGGACUUGGAGGCUCCCUGCAGAGUGGCCUCUUGCCUGGCUUUGGUGAUGUGUCUGAGUGUCCCAGGAAGGCCCAUUACAGCCCCUGUAGCUGCGCCAGCUCUGGCCAGCAGCUUAUGCCCUGCAGGUGUGGA
This 1493-nucleotide long non-coding RNA is filed under the name Marmota monax (woodchuck). Lineage: Eukaryota; Metazoa; Chordata; Mammalia; Rodentia; Sciuridae. The record is from RNAcentral.